RNAcentral lists this ribosomal RNA (140 nucleotides) under uncultured bacterium. Its description in RNAcentral is "partial 16S ribosomal RNA". It matches the Rfam family "Bacterial small subunit ribosomal RNA", at positions 355 to 509 of the family's 1533-position model. The record is from RNAcentral.
UGGGGAAUAUUGGGCAAUGGGCGCAAGCCUGACCCAGCAACGCCGCGUGAAGGAAGAAGGCUUUCGGGUUGUAAACUUCUUUUCUUCAGGGACGAACAGAUGACGGUACCUGAGGAAUAAGCCACGGCUAACUACGUGCC